This 481-nucleotide ribosomal RNA is filed under the name Streptococcus sp. oral taxon 064. RNAcentral's name for it is "bacterial SSU rRNA". It matches the Rfam family "Bacterial small subunit ribosomal RNA", at positions 28 to 491 of the family's 1533-position model. Lineage: Bacteria; Bacillati; Bacillota; Bacilli; Lactobacillales; Streptococcaceae. The record is from RNAcentral.
GACGAACGCUGGCGGCGUGCCUAAUACAUGCAAGUAGAACGCUGAAGAGAGGAGCUUGCUCUUCUUGGAUGAGUUGCGAACGGGUGAGUAACGCGUAGGUAACCUGCCUGGUAGCGGGGGAUAACUAUUGGAAACGAUAGCUAAUACCGCAUAAUAGUAGAUGUUGCAUGACAUUUGCUUGAAAGGUGCAAUUGCAUCACUACCAGAUGGACCUGCGUUGUAUUAGCUAGUUGGUGAGGUAACGGCUCACCAAGGCAACGAUACAUAGCCGACCUGAGAGGGUGAUCGGCCACACUGGGACUGAGACACGGCCCAGACUCCUACGGGAGGCAGCAGUAGGGAAUCUUCGGCAAUGGACGGAAGUCUGACCGAACAACGCCGCGUGAGUGAAGAAGGUUUUCGGAUCGUAAAGCUCUGUUGUAAGAGAAGAACGAGUGUGAGAGUGGAAAGUUCACACUGUGACGGUAUCUUACCAGAAAGG